This 358-nucleotide unclassified non-coding RNA is filed under the name soil metagenome. RNAcentral describes it as "partial contains 5.8S ribosomal RNA, internal transcribed spacer 2, and large subunit ribosomal RNA". The stretch from base 1 to 120 matches the Rfam family "5.8S ribosomal RNA", at positions 35 to 154 of the family's 154-position model. The record is from RNAcentral.
GAUGAAGAACGUAGUGAAAUGCGAUAAGUAAUGUGAAUUGCAGAAUUCAGUGAAUCAUCGAAUCUUUGAACGCACAUUGCGCCCGUCAGUAUUCUGGCGGGCAUGCCUGUUCGAGCGUCAUUACGCCCCUCAAGUCCCCUGUGGACUUGGUGUUGGGGAUCGGCGAGGCUGGUUUUCCAGCACAGCCGUCCCUUAAAUUAAUUGGCGGUCUCGCCGUGGCCCUCCUCUGCGCAGUAGUAAAACACUCGCAACAGGAGCCCGGCGCGGUCCACUGCCGUAAAACCCCCCAACUUUUUAUAGUUGACCUCGAAUCAGGUAGGGAUACCCGCUGAACUUAAGCAUAUCAAUAAGCGGAGGA